CGGUGCUGACAGGUCCCUGCCUUGCAGUGCUCACGUGGGAGGGCGAGAUCUCGGCCGUGAGCCGGGACGCCAUUCGGGACGCGGGCUGGGCCCAGCGCGCCAGAGUCACCGACGACUGGGACGAGGACUUCGACAGUGGCAAGGCGAAGAAGAGUAAAAAGUUCAAGCGGGAGCGGCGGAGACACUUCAACGCCUUCCA
Molecule: non-coding RNA, 199 nt
Organism: Pelodiscus sinensis (Chinese soft-shelled turtle)
Lineage: Eukaryota; Metazoa; Chordata; Testudines; Trionychidae
Source: RefSeq, a predicted model, not a curated record